CGAGGUCUGUGACAGCAGGCGCGGUAAAACAGGGGUCCCGAGUGUUGGUGGGAUUCACUGGGCGUAAGGGGUGCGCAGGUGGGUUGUCAAGUUUGAUGGGGAAGCCCCGGGCUUAACACGGGAAUGGCAUUGAAUACUGCUUGAACUGGAGGGGCGGAGGGGGGACUGGAAUUCUUGGUGUAGCAGUGAAAUGCGUAGAUAUCAAGAGGAACACCAGUGGCGAAGGCGAGUCCCUGGACGAUACCUGACACUGAGGCACGAAAGCCAAGGGAGCAAACAGGAUUAGAUACCCGUGUAGUC
This 300-nucleotide ribosomal RNA is filed under the name uncultured Vibrio sp. Its description in RNAcentral is "bacterial SSU rRNA". It matches the Rfam family "Bacterial small subunit ribosomal RNA", at positions 497 to 795 of the family's 1533-position model. The record is from RNAcentral. Lineage: Bacteria; Pseudomonadati; Pseudomonadota; Gammaproteobacteria; Vibrionales; Vibrionaceae.